ACCCAGAAAUCGUCAUAUUAUAAAAAUAACUUGUUUAUAUUAUAUAGUGAAAACUGGAAAGAUCCAGCAUUUGACUCAAACACCAACGAUACAUCAUGCUUAUCGCCCCUCGUAAGAAAUUUCAUCCUUUUUUUUGAAUAUCUGGCAUUAUUUCAGGUGAAGAAAAGAUUUCUUCUAUAGAAGAUCAUCAGCUGUUCUGAGUUUUUAAGAUCCCACGGUGUGUGUGCGAUGUGCAAGUGCUGUGUAUUUGUUGCUGCUGUCAUUACUGAGGUGCUGAAGUUUGUUGUUUGCUCUGACAGAACGCUGAAAUGUCCAACUCUCCUGGAAGAUGACAGCUUAAAAACGGCGAAACAACAGCAACUGGAAAUAACAGCCAUUCCCAUAGCGCUUAAAGCCUUAGCAGAAUUGAAAAUGGCACUCUGCUAUGCUGUUUAUGGGUGAGGUCUCAGACCCUGCUCAAGCAACGUUUCUGACUUCGUGGAGCCUGCUUGCCUGAGGAAGUGUGUCAAGGUGAAGGCCUAAUUGCCCAUAUUCUUUUCUGUACUGUUGAUGCUCCGUUUUUCAAAGACGUUUCUGCUCUCUGUCAGUUAAAGUUUGAAAAUGUCAGAAUGUAAGACAUGUUACCCAGACUUCUGCACAGAUUUUUGGGGGCACAGUUCAAGCGAGCAAAUGAAGGAAGGGACAAUUCUGAGGGAGUAUUCUUGUUGCUUACUGUAUUUCUCAGCUGCCCAGAGUAUGCAAGCUGCUGCUUAUAGUUGGUUCCUGCUCUGUUUCAGCUAAAUGCCUUUGGUACAACUCUCAAAGGCACAACGGCCCAUUGUAUACAUGGAGAUAAUAAUUCCUUGCACUUUUAUAAUCUUUUUAGCCUGAGGAUAUUUUGUGACUCCCUGAUGCUGGAAGUAGUAUUAUCUUCCUCACCUUUUGUCCCUUCUGUCCUUUUAUUUGUAGGGAAGAUCAGUGCUGGGGAAAGUGAGGCAGACGCUUCCCAGCUCCUGGGCUAUUUGUUUGCUUUGGCUCCAAGCAGUACUCAUGGAUGAAACCCCCAAGGGCUGCAUCUCUCUUUCCCAGAAGAGAGCCCUGGUGUGUCCCUGCUAGGUCAUCGUUCUGGGUGACUGAAGGACCAGGGAUCCCAAGCGCACUGCAGGGGGCAUCUGCUGAACUGUUUUGCUGCAGGUUAAGUUUCUUGAGAUACAAGAAAUCUGUGGCAGAGCUUACAAGACAACCCACGUCUUAGCUGUUCUCCUUGGACCUUAGCUAAUCACUGAUUGCUGGAUUUUUAUGGUAGACUUUAAAAUGGGAGUGGGGUGGAGGCACCGCACGCAGGAAUCUCUAAUUUUAGAUCGAAUGGUUUUAAUGGUAAAUUCAGGAAAUAUUUAGUUAGGGUACAAUUUUCAGAACACAAGUAUCAGUCUGAAGCUUUUAUCCAGCUCUGCACUGAUUUUGUACUGUGUGGCUAGCCCAGCUUUGUCUUCAAAGUCAUCUUUUGUGUCAGACAACAAUCACUGCAAGGGAAAUACGUACAGCUAUAGCUUUCACCAAGACAUCAAGAGCUUUAAGUCUGGGGAUUGGGGUGGCAAUGCAUAGGUCUUAUGAUCCUUCUCAUCUCAUUGGAAAAGGUCACAGAAGUCAUCAGAUUGACUGCAGAACAUUCCCUCAGAGCAAUGCACCUUUUGUACAUUGGAGCCGCUACUAUUUUUGAAGCUGUGGUCCAUGUGGAGCACAAAUCAUACUUUAACAUGUAUAUCAAUGCAUUAGAAAUACCCUAGGGGGACAGAGAGAGGCUUUCUGUUCAGUGCAGUAUUUACUCAAAAAUUUCUAGCUUAGAGUAAUGUAAAAUAGGCAAGAAAAGCCAUUGAUGGAUUUUAUUUCUUCUUUCCAAAAGCCAGUCAAGGACAAGGUAUGGAGAUUCUUGACUGUAGUUGAUGAAUGUGUUUUUUCCUUUAAGGAGGAAAUAGUAAGAAAAAGAUCAGUGAAAUGGAUGACUGUGGAUUCUUUUUACAUUACGAAAGACAUUAGGCAGCCUGAAGGGGGCUAAAAUGGUCUGGAAGAAGCAAAACUGAACCUGUGGCAAUGGAAAUGUUUACCUAAUCUUGUCUGUAGGGACAGCACAGUAGACCAUGGACUAUGUGCUCUAGAAGAGAACUUUGAAUGUGCCCCAUGUCCUCUGCUUCUACCACACUGGCUUUGCAUAAAAUGUGUGCCCCUAAAAUGAUCAGCUUGUGCAAAGUGAAGUAUAAAGGAUUUUAGAUAGCAUCUAUUACCCUUGUUCAACAAGAAUCUGCCUAAUAGGCAAAUGUACUAAUGUACACUUGCUAGAAAUAGAAAAUAUCCCUUCAUUUUUCUUAUGUGAGUUAUAACUGGUAAAAAUAUAGAAUUGGAGAUGCUGACAAAGUUGUUACUUCUACAUUCUUAAGGAACAAUUUCCAAUCACAAAUGUUUUCAUCUUCACCAGUGCCCGGUGGAAACACCUGAUGAAGAGGUAGAUCAACCGUUAUCCUGCAGGGGACUUUGUUAUGUCCCACACCAGGUUUUCUAGCAAGAAUUCCCUGUUACAGAACUGUACCUAGCCUUGAGUUUCUGCCCUUGGCCCCUGGGUGAUGAAACAAUUAUAAUACUGCUAGCAAUGAGUGGUGCCACGGACACAUGUCCAUCUAGCAGUGCAUGUGAAGAAAAAUGAAACUUCAUAGAGACCUGAUUUUGUAAUGAUGUAUUCAUAUCCAUAUUCACCAUGAAAGACCCUCAAGAACGACCAAUUAGUUCAAAUACCUUUUUCUUGAUUACUGGACAACUACCAUAAAGAUAUUUCCUAAGGGUCAAUAAGGCUUUGUUACUAGGCUUGUCUGACCAUCGAUAUGUGAACACUCAGAGUUAUGAAUAAAUCUGAUACGGAAGAACCCCCCCCCACACACACACAAAUAAAUUAUCUUUAAUGCCUAAAAGAUGCUCACUCUAGUAUUCAGCUACAGAACUAUGAACUUUCUUUAUGGAAUUUAAAGUUAAUUUAACUACUUUUGGUAUCUAUGAACACAGAAACCAGGAAAAAAAAGAAAAAAAUUGCCUCUUCUGUCUUCUGUGUUUUUUCCACAGGCUCAAAAUGGUACCACGGGUAGGUCACCUAAUCAGUCAAUAAUUCAAUAGUAAUACCAUUUUUUACUUCCACUUUUGUUUGUCUUGUUUGAAUUGAGAGCUUCUGGGAAGCAGGAACCUUUUCUUGUGACGAUUUUGGAAGACACACCAGAGGAACUGUCUGGUAUGAACCUUCAGGCAUGACUGGAAUAGUAACAAAUAGUAGCAAAUGAUUUUUAGUCACUGGUUUUCUUCAUUGUUUUAAGCUAUGUGAAAAUGUAUAGGAAAAAAUCAUGCUAAAAUGACACGCUACUGGAAAUGGAUCCAGACUAAGAUCAGCCAAGGCUGUGCUGGGUACUUCUUAAUUAACUCAAUGAAGCAUACGCAAUGAAUAAAAAUCUAACUUUUGCAAGGCAAAUAAGCUAGGACUUUUAUGGAUGCCAAUAAAAUGAAUGCUGUCUGGGAGAUAGUCAUUAGCUGAGUGGAAGAUGUCUGUAGAGGCUGUGGUCUAGAAAGCUGGUGAAUUUAAUGGCACGGGCAUGGAGGAUUGUGUAAUACAGUGAGUGGAGCUGGUAAAAAGAAAAAGAGUAGCACUUUUUCGGUAUGAAUAUGUUUCAUCUAACCAGCAGUAAAUUGCAUGAACUGUUAUGGUCUCCUGGUCUACAUUAACCAAGGUCUGACUAGCGUUAGCAGCUCUCCACAUUCAUUUGCCAAAUAGCAAGACUGUGAUGCUGUUCCUCACAAACUAAGAGGCACAUAAGCUAACUUUGGUAGGAUGCUUACUCUGUGUGUGUGUCUCUGUGUGUGUGUGUGUGUGUGUAGAAGUAAAGAAAAAGAUUUGUAAACCAGCAAAUUCUCAGGUAUUUCUAACAACCCUUUUCUGCUAUUUGCGAUUUUAUGUUUAAAAAAGAAAAAUGGAAGCACUCACCUGUUUGGCUGUGGUUUGUUCCUACUCCACAGCAUUUUCCUGGCUGUUCUGAAGUCUCUUCAUCCUGUGAGAAACAGAGGAAGAGGAAGGAAGGGAGGACUGAAGUUUCAGAAGAAUGAAAAAGAUUAGCAGAAGCAGAAAAAUGGUGGCCUGGUGAAGAGCAGUGAGCAUAUAUAUGCCUCAGUGUCACUUCAGAGUCACGUGUGUCCCUGCUCUUUGGUCAGACUGUGAGGAGGCUGGUUACCUACCCUGUACUGGGUGUCUUUUAGAAACUCCCAUGGUCUCCAGGAGAUAUGUGAUGACUAAAGCUAUUUCUCUAGGGGAUAGCUGCCUUUCUGUAUUUACUGGCUGUUCAGCUGAUAUAUGAGAGAAUGUGUUCUAGUGGUUAGGCAGUUAUUGUGCUGAAAUAAUAAUUACUCUAGUUCUUGUUGCUUCUUUCUUGCUCAUAGAUUUUCUUGUACUUUGCAGAGGGUGGAACAUUUUAACUUCUCUUUUACGGAUUUGUUGAAGGUAAGGUAGCAGAGCCAAGCCAACAUCCCAUGAAUUCCAGUCUAUCACCAUCUCCAGUGGCUUGCAUUGCUCCCCAGUUACUGGCCUAGGUGCUGAUCCAGAUUGCUUUGGUCGUGUUUUAGAUCAACAAGUGUCUGCUGCCCUGCAGCCUUCGUUGUUUCCAGCUGUCUGGUGCCUCAUAUCUCUUGGGAGAAGGGGGAUGCUGGUUUGGCAUACCAUUGUAUAACCACCCAUUUUGUCUCCAGAUAUAACAGAAAAAGGCUGGAGAAAGCAGAGGAAGAUCAAGCAAGUUCUAAAUAUCAGUUACUGAUCACUGAUAGAUGUGAUGUGUUUAAUGUUGGGGUACCCCUAGACACAAAGAUCACAGGAUAAACAUUCAAAGGUCACUCUACUCUAAAAGAGGCAAUGGUAAAUUUAACAGCCAAGGUGGUAUGAUUAGAAGACUAAACACAGUAAAACAUGUUCUCAGAAGAUGUGCCCAUACCAGUUCUUGAAGGCUUCUUGCUGAGUUCAGUUCAACCUGGACAAGUUCCUCUGCAUUGCAUACAGGUUGCCAGGGAGCCUGGGGGACCCACCAUCUGACAUUCAUAGUGCUCGGCUUCUAUCCGAAUAUGUCUGAGAAUCCCACUGAAGCGUGGGAUGACAAGUUCCCUCUUUCCUUUUACAGAAUUGCUUCUUGUCCACAACUAAGGCACAUGGACUGCUGAGAGACUGCUGAAGAAUCACACCUUCGCAGCACAGAGAGGCACAAGAAUGUGUUGCAGGGACACCAUGGGUACGGAGAAUUGUUUUUUAAGGUGAAGUUGCUGAGGAA
Long non-coding RNA from Dromaius novaehollandiae (emu), 5318 nucleotides. RefSeq lists it as uncharacterized. Lineage: Eukaryota; Metazoa; Chordata; Aves; Casuariiformes; Dromaiidae. The transcript has 6 exons. The record is from RefSeq and is a predicted model, not a curated record.